This 253-nucleotide ribosomal RNA is filed under the name uncultured bacterium. Its description in RNAcentral is "partial 16S ribosomal RNA". It matches the Rfam family "Bacterial small subunit ribosomal RNA", at positions 524 to 776 of the family's 1533-position model. The record is from RNAcentral.
UACAGAGGGGGCAAGCGUUAUUCGGAAUUAUUGGGCGUAAAGGGCGCGUAGGCGGCCUGACAAGUGGAAGGUGAAAUCCCUCGGCUUAACCGAGGAACUGCCUUCCAAACUGUUUGGCUUGAGUCCGGGAGAGGAGAGUGGAAUUCCCGGUGUAGCGGUGAAAUGCGCAGAUAUCGGGAAGAACACCUAUGGCGAAGGCAGCUCUCUGGGACGGUACUGACGCUGAGACGCGAAAGCGUGGGGAGCAAACAGG